RNAcentral lists this ribosomal RNA (453 nucleotides) under uncultured bacterium. RNAcentral's name for it is "bacterial SSU rRNA". It matches the Rfam family "Bacterial small subunit ribosomal RNA", at positions 355 to 801 of the family's 1533-position model. The record is from RNAcentral.
UGGGGAAUCUUGCGCAAUGGACGAAAGUCUGACGCAGCGACGCCGCGUGGGUGAUGAAGGCCUUCGGGUUGUAAAGCCCUGUGGGGCGGGACGAAUUAGUAGAAGCUAAUACCUUCUAUGAUGACGGUACCGCCUUAGCAAGCACCGGCUAACUCUGUGCCAGCAGCCGCGGUAAGACAGAGGGUGCGAACGUUGUUCGGAAUUACUGGGCGUAAAGCGUGUGUAGGCGGUCAUGUAGGUCGGAUGUGAAAGCCCCAGGCUCAACCUGGGAAGUGCACCCGAAACCGCACGACUUGAGUAUCGGAGAGGUUGGUGGAAUUCUCGGUGUAGAGGUGAAAUUCGUAGAUAUCGAGAGGAACACCGGCGGCGAAGGCGGCUCACUGGCCCGGAACUGACGCUGAGACGCGAAAGCGUGGGGAGCAAACAGGAUUAGAUACCCUGGUAGUCCACGCU